CAUUCUCAGAGCAAGCAAAAGCAAACUUACAAAGAAACAUCUGAGAAGGCAGGUGAAGGACCUUUGGGGCACUUAAUGUGGGAGGACAACUGGGAAAUGCAGCCCGGAACUCAAGCUUACAGGUUACAGUCCAUUACUGGAGAAGUUGGGACGAAAACUCAAGCAGAAAUAGAAGCAGGAGUCAUGAAGGAAAGCUGCUUGCUGUCUCCAUCUUCAUGGCUUGCUCAGUUUGCUUCCUUACAAAAUCAGGACCAUGUAUCCAGAGAGCGCACUUUCCACAGUGGGCCAGACCCUUUCACGUCAAUCAUUAGUCAAGAAACGCCUACAGGAGCACUUCAUGGAGGAAGCAUCUCAGUUGAGGUUUCUUCUUCUGAAAUGGCUAUCGUUUGUUUCAGGUUGGCAACUCAAUCCAGCACAGGGGAAGUUGUUGUGGCUUGUAUGUUUCUUUUUCCUUUUGUUCAGGAACUUGUCUGUUUCAUCUAGGUUUCAUUUUUCUUGUCUGGAGUAGCUCCUGCAAUUCUCGUUAUCCUCUUAGCAUUUGCAGGAGCUACAGCAUGUUGUUUUGUUAUGAGGCUGAGUUUCUGCCCUUUUCUUGUCUUGUUGUUGACUGGUCAGUUUCUUUUUAUCAUUUUGUUUGAAGAAUAAGGUAUUUAUUUCGUUAUAUUUUUUCCCUGCUUCCAAAUUCACAG
RNAcentral lists this long non-coding RNA (689 nucleotides) under Cricetulus griseus (Chinese hamster). RNAcentral's name for it is "lncRNA (ENSCGRG00015037050.1)". Lineage: Eukaryota; Metazoa; Chordata; Mammalia; Rodentia; Cricetidae. The record is from RNAcentral.